AUGUCUUCCUUUUCCAAGGAAGUGGAAAAGUGUGGUCAGCUCACCACAUCUGCUGGGCAAUCCAGGCAUGAAGAAACAGUUCCAUGCCAAGAUAUUCUUUCUAGAAAACAGUUCAUUCCUCUAAAAAUGGACAGAGCAAUAAGACUGAACAGUGAAGAAGGAAAUUGCCAGGGAGGUGAAUUCCAAGAGUGUGAGGGUGGAAUAACACCUCUCAAAACAUGUUUGUUGCCCUGUGAAGAAUGUCAGAAACACCACACCAUCUGGGCAACUGCUAUUUCUGAAGGUAACUUUGUGUCACCAGAGGAAAAUAUGGAUCUCUUGCAGGAGAGGAUAUGA
RNAcentral lists this long non-coding RNA (336 nucleotides) under Anser cygnoides (Swan goose). RNAcentral describes it as "lncRNA (ENSACDG00005015502.1)". Lineage: Eukaryota; Metazoa; Chordata; Aves; Anseriformes; Anatidae. The record is from RNAcentral.